RNAcentral lists this ribosomal RNA (496 nucleotides) under uncultured bacterium. RNAcentral's name for it is "partial 16S ribosomal RNA". It matches the Rfam family "Bacterial small subunit ribosomal RNA", at positions 29 to 507 of the family's 1533-position model. The record is from RNAcentral.
AUGAACGCUGGCGGCGUGCCUAAUACCUGCAAGUCGAGCGAACAGACGAGGAGCUUGCUCCUCUGACGUUAGCGGCGGACGGGUGAGUAACACGUGGAUAACCUACCUAUAAGACUGGGAUAACUUCGGGAAACCGGAGCUAAUACCGGAUAAUAUAUUGAACCGCAUGGUUCAAUAGUGAAAGACGGUUUUGCUGUCACUUAUAGAUGGAUCCGCGCCGCAUUAGCUAGUUGGUAAGGUAACGGCUUACCAAGGCAACGAUGCGUAGCCGACCUGAGAGGGUGAUCGGCCACACUGGAACUGAGACACGGUCCAGACUCCGACGGGAGGCAGCAGUAGGGAAUCUUCCGCAAUGGGCGAAAGCCUGACGGAGCAACGCCGCGUGAGUGAUGAAGGUCUUCGGAUCGUAAAACUCUGUUAUUAGGGAAGAACAAAUGUGUAAGUAACUAUGCACGUCUUGACGGUACCUAAUCAGAAAGCCACGGCUAACUACGUG